GACGAACGCUGGCGGCGUGCUUAACACAUGCAAGUCGAACGGAAAGGCCCUGCUUUUGUGGGGUGCUCGAGUGGCGAACGGGUGAGUAACACGUGAGUAACCUGCCCUUGACUUUGGGAUAACUUCAGGAAACUGGGGCUAAUACCGGAUAUGAGCUCCUGCUGCUUGGUGGGGGUUGGAAAGUUUCGGCGGUUGGGGAUGGACUCGCGGCUUAUCAGCUUGUUGGUGGGGUAGUGGCUUACCAAGGCUUUGACGGGUAGCCGGCCUGAGCGGGUGACCGGCCACAUUGGGACUGAGAUACGGCCCAGACUCCUACGGGAGGCAGCAGUGGGGAAUAUUGCACAAUGGGCGGAAGCCUGAUGCAGCAACGCCGCGUGCGGGAUGACGGCCUUCGGGUUGUAAACCGCUUUCGCCUGUGACGAAGCGUGAGUGACGGUAAUGGGUAAAGAAGCACCGGCUAACUACGUG
Molecule: ribosomal RNA, 468 nt
Filed under: uncultured bacterium
Lineage: Bacteria
Description: partial 16S ribosomal RNA
Rfam family: Bacterial small subunit ribosomal RNA
Source: RNAcentral